GUAAUUAAGAAAUAUCAUUAGAUUCUCUUCUCUCAUUCAUCCUGCGGCCUCUUUUCUACUUUGAUAUAGAUUCAAAAAUAUUUUUCUAUCGUUAAUAAAAUUGCAGCAGCAAUAUCACAUGAGAAGCACAUGAGAAUCUUCAAUUGGAUGAGCAUUAUCUGUUCUUUUUAACAUAAUAUUUAAAAUUAUUUAUUGGUGCACUUGAACCCACAUCAUCCUAUAUUGAUAACAAUAUCUGUUACAAGCUCAAUUUGCUCGGCCCAUUUACAACCCCUAAACCCAAUCCUAAAUAAACCCACUAAACCUAUUAACCCAAGUCAUUACAGCCCAAAUGACCCCCAAGCCCACAUAGCCCAAUACAUUAAAGAAAAAGAGGAAACCUAAAACCCCCACUUGCCUCUAACGGCGCCGCACCUAACCGCCUGCCACCGUUGCUGUUGCUGAGCCACCUGCUCCAUCUGCAUACAUUAAUGGAGAAAAGACAGCAAUAGAAAUAAGAAAAGAAAAUCAAAAUGAAAUGUAAUUUUUAUUUCGACUAUAUAAAGCCUUCUAAAUGCAUUGUAAGGGUCUUCUUUUUUUUCUUUUCGGACUUUCAAUGAGAAAAGUGGUUUAAACACUACUAAAUCAAAAGCAAAAACAGACCCUAAAAGAGAAAAAUCCAAAUCGAAAAUAAAAAGGUGAUUCUAAUUUCUUUAGUUUGGGAUCUUUUCUUUUUUUUUUUUUCUCCUUUGUCUACACAUAACACAUAUAUAUAUAUUAGAUAAUAUAAAAAAAUACCUUUGGCGAUUUCCAGCCACCGUGUACGGUGGCCGGCACGGCGGAGCUACGGUGGGAGUGGCCGGACCUUUCUGGCCAGUUCUGGGAUUUACCCAGAGAGAAAACAGUUCCCUCUCUCUUCUUUUUUCUAAAACUCAGGGAAAAAUGAAAUUUUUUUCUGAAAUAUUAGCUUUUAUAUCCCGCUG
This 962-nucleotide long non-coding RNA is filed under the name Gossypium barbadense (sea-island cotton). RNAcentral describes it as "long non-coding RNA (GBAR_LNC013064)". Lineage: Eukaryota; Viridiplantae; Streptophyta; Magnoliopsida; Malvales; Malvaceae. The record is from RNAcentral.